CCUACGGGUGGCUGCAGUAGGGAAUCUUGCACAAUGGACGAAAGCCUGACGCAGCAACGCCGCGUGAGGGAUGAAGGUCUUCGGAUCGUAAACCUCUGUCGGCAGUGAAGAACGAUCGCGGUACUAAUCAGCAGUUAAUUGACGGUACCUGCUCAGAAAGCACCGGCUAACUCCGUGCCAGCAGCCGCGGUAAUACGGAGGGUGCAAGCGUUGAUCGGAAGUACUGGGCGUAAAGCGCUCGCAGGCGGUAUGUCAAGUCAAGGGUGAAAUCCCCGCGCUCAACGGGGGAACUGCCUUAGAAACGGGCAAACUGGAGUGUGGGAGAGGAGAGUGGAACUCCAGGUGUAGGAGUGAAAUCCGUAGAUAUAUGGAGGAACAUCAGUGGCGAAGGCGACUAUCUGGUACAUAACUGACGCUGAGGAGCGAAAGCGUGGGUAGCAAACAGGAUUAGAGACCCGGGUAGUC
RNAcentral lists this ribosomal RNA (465 nucleotides) under uncultured bacterium. RNAcentral's name for it is "partial 16S ribosomal RNA". It matches the Rfam family "Bacterial small subunit ribosomal RNA", at positions 338 to 795 of the family's 1533-position model. The record is from RNAcentral.